CUCACGUUCACUGUUGCACCCUGACUGUUGAUCAACUUAAUGCAUCACCAAUGCACAGCAGGCGCACGCGACGUCUGGCUAACAUGCUACGUGCUAACACCAGCAGUGACCUUUGUGAGGUGAGUCCGUUUAUCCCUGAAGCUGAAAACUCGUUCUAUUUGAGGAGCACAGCAGGACCAACGAGGUCCAGCGGACUGGUUCCAUUAUGCUUUGAGGAGGAGGGAGUAAAGCAGCUGAAUCCGGAGCAGAUUGUGGAGGAUGUUUCCGUACACAAGUGGAUUCUUCAUGCGAGAAGGUCAAGAAAAACUUUGUCGUCUCUGAGCUUCAUAGUGAUUAAAAGGUGCAGACUUUUUUGUAGCCUAAAGUACAAAAAUAGUACAUUUAAACUAAAUGAUCCUUUUACUUUUUUCAGUACAGUUACUUGAUUAAAUAUAUUUGAAGUAACCAGAGACUAACAGGCACCGUUUUGCUCGUGGUUUCGUGGGGAAAAGCCUCCCACCUUUCAUUCGCUGUCAUAAUUGGGUGGUCUUCUCAAUCAGAGGCUGCAGAGAUGCACUUUUCUCAACUUCUCAGCCAUGAGGCCGUGUAACCACAGCAGGCUGCUUCUCUCUCCCACAGCGGGGCUUCGGUCAAGGUUCUCACAUUCUUGUGUUCAUCCAAUAGCUUCCCUCAAUUAACUGGGUUAAUGUUGGUGUGAGAUCCCUGCAUGUGACCGCGAGUGCAUGACGCAAAAGGGUUCUCAUGCGCCGACAAAAAUAAAUUGCUGUAAACUCCCCUGUAACUGAGCGAAUGAGGGAGUUUGCUCGUCUUAAAAACGCAGUCUGAGAAAGUGGAUCCGGACUUUGCAGUCGCUGCUUUCCAGGAGGCCAAGCGUCCUGGUAACCGGAGCCGAACGCAGGACGCGGGAGAGACAGUGAAAACACCAACUGAAGAGGAAGAGGCACAUCCCAUCUGAUCCCUGGAGCCUAAUCUGUGAUGACAGUCCGUCUAAUGACGGCGUGUCUCAUCGCUGAAGCACAGCGAGCAGCGAGGCCACGCGGAGCGGAUGAAAGCAACAGGACGGCGUCAACGCCGCAGGCACACGCAACUAAAUCCAAGACAUUACCCCUCCAGCCCAACUCCACCACGGAACACAGAUGCUACCAACCAAAUCACUACUGGAGCAGAGUUUCAACUUUAAAGCACAAGAAUAUUACAGCGUGAAUGGAACCGUAAAGAUGUAUUUUAUUGAGAUCUCACACCGCGGAUUUAAUAAUAAUCACGUUGGGUAGAAUGAACAUAUUCAAAUAUUCAUAUUACAAAUACACACAAUGCCAAGGCUCGGGAGUCCGAACCAAGACAGUGUGCUUGAUUACUCCCUCCAUUAUCCGUCUUAGACUCAAGACAUUUCCACACGUCUAAAGUAUUUAUGGGCGAUUCUGCAGUCCGACAAACAUCCUUGAAAACAGCCAAUUUGGAACCAGCCCACAGAGGGGAGUGCGUGAAAACCUCCCCAUCAGAGGUCAAUUCAAUUGAGCUGGAAAAAGGGUUGUGAAUAACUAUGGCAACCUGUGAAUGGCUCCCUACUGCCCGCUGAAAAACUGAAUAACAUUAAGCUGAAGGGGGGGGUAGGGAGGGGGUAUCCUCUCCCCAACUGCAUUCCAGUGGAUUCUCCAGAAGAUGCCGUUCAGUCGGAGACCUUGCAGACACAAAGCCGGCCUGGCAGCGGCAGCGAGGCUCCUCGCAGGCAGCUAGGCAACCGGCCUUUUGUGCAAACCCCUUUCUCCUGAGCUCAGGACUCCAGUUCAAGAACCAGAAACGCCGAACCCUCUUUUCACAGCUCAGGGAGGCCUUGGAGAAUACUUAUUAACCGGCUCGCCUUCUCACGCAGACGUUUACUCCUUGUGGUGGGGGGGAGAGAGCCCAUCGGGGAGGUGGAAGGACUUUUAUGUUUAUACUUUAUCAAUUUGUGCAUAUUGUUCAUAAAUUCACCAAAGAUUAUUACUAUACAGCCUAAUUUGCAUAUUUAACAUGGAGGGAGAGGUUUGGGUCAGUCUGAGGUCAACAGAAUACAGCCGGCCGUCUCAUGUUGUGUGUUCCUUUGUCAGAUUAAUACCACAAUAUAUACUUAAUGGACCAUUACUAUUAGACAAACACAACAUUGCACAGAGUCAGACUCCAUCAGUAGAAUGUUUUAAGUUUAUAAAACAGCAUUUCCCGGAGCGAUCAGCAUCCCAUAAUGCAUAACAAGCCUCUCCAUUUGUUUAAACAGUAUUUAAUCAAAGGCUGCUGCUCGGGUUUGGGCUUCUCUGAUAGCGGACAAGUCGAGUCCUGCGGUCCGGCCGGCUGGAGCUGUGACGGGCUUCAUUCAGAGAAACAGCUGUGGUGGGCGGCGCCCGCUCGAUGACCUCAGCGACAUACCUGCUCUGACCUCACCGACUCAUUCACAAUCACCUGCACAUUUCUCCCAAAUGGGAGUUUCAACAUCACAUUCCCAGAACUGAAGGUCAAUUAUACCUAUUAUAUAUAAUCAGGACUGGCACAGCAAGUAUACGAGCUAAAACAAAACUACGAGGGCUCUGAAUUCCGCCCUUCACAAGGUGUAAAUCAGACGAGUAACACGGAGUCAGUGAGAGGACAACCAUGAAUCCUUUGGGACCUCGGGAAGCAGUUGAUAUCCGAAGUAUGCCAGGAAUGUAACGGCUGGUGCCCGCCUACCAUCACGUGCAUCACCAACACCUUUGAGGGUGAGAGGACAUCAGGUCUGACCAACCAAGAAGUGAUGCAACGCAGUCCCUGACCUCUGAAAGACACCUCAAAGACGUGCACCAACAUCUUUUCAGAAAUUCCUUGAGGCGUCUCAUUACAUGUCAAAACUCUACAAGAGGUCACAUCCUAAGAUCCACAUCGAUACAGAAUAAACAUCAACUGUGAGUCUGUUACCUUUGUGUAUUGAAGCAGAGCAUGAACACACUAAAACUACCUUCAGCGGGAGCCUGCAGCGCAUUCUCCAUUAUGUGGGUCAUCUCCUCCCUCAGUUUGUGAGCACUCACAGCCCCAUUGAAGUAGGCCUGUUACUUUACACUCCCACGGUACUACGCAUGGACUCACACACACACUAUUUCUACUGAUGCAGCUCAGCUCAUAGCUUCCUUUUUCUGUUAGUAAAAAUGAGGGACAAUAACCACCAAAUGCUGAAUGACACAUGAAAGAAGCCUUUGUGUGUUUUCUCGUACGGUGUCGCUGAGGUUACAACAACAAGCGCACGGAGUUAGUUGGAUUUCCUUGUUGCAACAGGAGAGAGUGUUUAAGACCAGAAGGUUUGUGAAGAUAAUAAAUCAUCACUCAGAUCUGAUCGUCACAGAAACCAAGAUAAAGACACCUGUGAUUUCAUUUUUAUUCCAAGAUAAAAACGGGUGUUCUGUCUCCCCACAAGGAACAACAAAGACACAAGUGGCAGCUUCCCUUCCACUGCUCUUAACAGUGCAGCUAUUUCCCCCACCCAAUACUGUAGAUGUGGGGUAUCAGUGACAUGACCAUUUAAUGUGUGUGUGUGAAAAGCUAGUGGUCUGAAUGGAGCCCCCCCCCCCUCUCACUCAAAACUCAGCCAUCUGUCUUUGCUGCACCAGUCAGGGACGGAGAGCUAAAACCAGAUUAAAACAAUACUUUGACCCGCACUAAUCCCAAGAUCUGUUCCAGCGCUGGCUCGCUGCAGGAACAUCUACGGUGGACCCAAUGGGACAUAAGUGGAAGUAUAACCACAGGCGGGGACGUGGUGGCCACGAGGGAGCUGGUGACGCAGGUUGUGCGUGACAAUAGAUGCCUCUUCACACAAAACUAAAUGGUACGAGGACGAACAUCUUUGAGGUGCAUUAUGGUCUUUUGGACAAAAGCGUAUAAACCAUGGCGUAAUUUAAAGGCGCCGUUAACAGCCACACAUAUUUUCCAUUUUAUCUGUUUAAUCACCAGAGAAGCGGGAGGCCGAUACUCUGUUUGCUAAUCCUCAGGUCACUGCUGGAAAUAAACCUCCUGUCACACAAGAGACAGCUGAUCCAGAUGUGAUGGCCAUUAAUAAAUAAUACAGAGCUUAACUUAAACAUUAGACUAAAUGUAACAACACAUUGUGCAUUAAGUACAAGUCGCAUCGCUGUACAGGGGAGGACAUUGAAACGACCCUAAAAACCAGGAUUAGAAGAAUCUUUUUUGUGCAUUUCUCUCAAUGAAACAACAGGUAAGGACGAGGUUAACAAAGCUGUGACGGUAAAGAAUAGUUAUUACAUCUUAUGCAUGAAUAGUGAAAUAUUUAAAAUGUUAUUGUGCCCAUGCACAUUUUAUCAAAAGACGUGUCAAUGAGAAAGAAGUUGGCCUUGCAAAGUGAAAAGCUCCCAGGAGGAACUCUGUGUGGCGUCUGCAGCACAGCGUUGUUUAGACGUUACAACCAGAACAUCUUAUCAACGCGCCGGUGCAAUAUGAAGACAGAGGGAUCAUAGUUUCAGACGCGACCCUGGACUUGGUUUCUCUUCCAUCUGCAGACGACUGGUGGUAAGACUAACAAAGCAACACCAACGUCUUUGCAGCCACGCUGCAGAAUCCUCAGUUACAUCGAAGUUGGCCUAUUUUUUUUCUCACCAUUUCUUUAAAGAAAUUAUGCCUGAAUCUUAAUGUAGAGAAGUAGCGUUGCAUCAUGGGAGUUCACCACCCUUUCUCAAAUUAAAGUGACCAUGAUUUGAAAAUAAUUGAAAAUUGUGUUAGGUCAAUGAACUUAUUGUAAGUCGCUUUGGAUAAAAGCGUCAGCUAAAUGACAUGUAAUGUAACUGAAAUAAAUGAGCCAGAAUCUGUGCCAAAUAUCCUCCAUUUACUCUGUUUUUGCUCUCUGGUUUUACGCUCCAUACAAUCUACAAACCUGUUUGAAUGCAGUGCGACAGGAUUAACGGAUGCAGCUGCACAACAAAGAAGACCCUCACAAAAAUAACUCAGAGUUUGAAGCCCCUUGCCAGUCUGGUGUCCGUAAUCACCUCCCAACGCCCCCCCCUCCUUUCAUUGUUCAGAGGCACCGAGCAGAAAAGGCCCCUUGUGCUUGUGUCUCCAGCUUUUUGGUGGUACUUUUACAAAGAGGUCACCACCCGUGGCCCGCAGACCAGCAAAGGCUUCACCACAACAACAACAGCACCACAUGUGGUCGUUAGGGGAGCAAACUGCCCGUCCCACUAGCUUUCAGUCCCAGUUAGCUGGCUUUCAUUUCCCAUGUCUUCCUAAUAUAUACUCAGUAAUGAUUCAUAUUCCUGCCCAACCUCCCGGUGUGUUACAAAGUGACACCGAGGGUCCCAAGCAAGCGUCAGCGUGUGACGGGCCGGGAUGAGAACGCGUUGCGUAAACAUGCGCAAAUUAGGAGGAGGUGAAGCUGCCCGUGGCGCCUCAUCUCCAGCUGGAGAGAGCAGAGUGUCAGCUGUCAGGCGGGGCAUUCAAACACCCGCCCCCACCCCCUCCACCCCAACAACACACACAAAGUACAGGCUGCACCCUGCUGCACAGAGUGCUCCCGGUAGACAGCAUCCAUCCAUCACUGCCUCCACAUUGUUUCAAGUUACCAGUAAAGGGUUAAGUGGGAUUUAGAGCCCCUGCAAUGCAAAAGACUAAAGAGCUCCUUUCCCCCCCACAGAGCGAUUCCCUCCAUUGGGACCAGAGCGGUGACAUCGGCGCAAAAAUCACAGAAUCAAUAAAUCACACUGGCAGCUAAACUGGACCCAUAAUUCUGAUGUGGAAAUCUGAUUCUAAAUUGAUAUUAUCUCCUUGAAACACAGCAUUAUUACCACAGAUUUGAUGUUGUAAUGGGCAAUCGGUCCCACAGAAAGGAAAGCCUCGUGGGAAUUAGCAAAUCAUCUUUACUUCCACUUGAGAACAAAUGCUCACAUAAGGCUCCAUUGCCCCAUCUGACAGACAAAUCUAAUCAUCUCCUCUCAUACAGUAUCUAGUUUCUGGAGCAUGUAAAGCGCCCCUCCCACCCACCCAGCCAGCCCUGUGGCCCACCAAGGCUCAUUAUGGGCCCAUUACACACCUGGUGACCUCUGACCCCGUCAGCACUGUGCCGGGCUAAUCAGCUCCUCGGGGACGGGAGCAGACAGACGGACGGACGGGUGAGGUCGCUCGUCCUCAUAACUGCGUGGGUGGAUUCAUCGGCUCCUCACAGAACGAUUGAAUCUCCAUCUACAAUUUACAUUGUCAGGAGUUUUUUUCUUGUUAAAAAUUCUUAUUUGGAAGCUGGUGUGAACCCACAGAGGAGACGCUCCAGUUUUAAACCUUAGAUUUAACUACCACGGUUUCUAUUUAUGUUAUUUGUUAACAAAUUACUUUAGAGACUUAUUUUGAGGAGUAUUGUUUCUAAUAAGAACUAUGUUUACGUCCUGUGUUGUUUAGAGAAUCUCAUUUUUGGAAGAUGCUUAAAGAUUUAGUAAUAUUGUAGACAAUCAUCCCAUUCCACCUUUGUGUUUGUGUGUUUAAAAAAACGUUUGUACGGAGUAGGAAUUUGUGCUCAUCGUGUACAUUUGUUGUGUAUUUUGAACAGUUUGACGGCGGAUUAGAUGACGUUGACUGAUGAUGAAGGCGAGUAAAUCCAUCAGUAACAAAAGAACCACUGUGUUGCGUGUUUCCUGGAGGGAAGGAGAAAAGACGUUUGCCUCACACACAAGAGGGAUGACCAGGAAUCAGGGAGAAGGGGUGACUCAUCGGUGUAACUUAAUCUCACACAGAUUCAAUAGAUUCUCACGGUGACGUUUUAGUCUGACACCUUUUUGUGCCGCUCAGUAUAAAAAAGCAUUAAAAAAAAACAAAGUAUUACAACAUGAAUUAAAGUGGUAUUCCUUGCCGUAGACGUGGGACAGUGUGAAAUAUUUUAUGUACCAACUAUCCCGGCCCAAAUUACUUUGUUUCACAAUAUUAUCAACAUCUGCUUAAGUCCUUUAAAAUUACACUUAAAACACACUGGAAUCCCUUUUCCCUGUGAUUUGUACGGACGAUAUCUUAAUCGCAUCCGAGAUACAAGAUUUAGUUUUUCAGUGAACAACAUUUAAUUUGAAAAACUAACAACCAACCGAACAUAAGUUAAUCAUAAACCCUGCAUAAAUUAAAGUUUUUGUUUUGUUUUGUUUUUUACUUCAUCUCACUGGGUCAAUCUCUAUAGUGGAAUUCAUUAAAAUGUAAAGAGCCUAAUGACACUAAAGCCUCAUGAGCAAAUCCCAUUCUUCAUCACCAGCUUACAACAACAUAUUCUUUCUUCCUUGGGGUAUGAGUUGCUUUAUUGGUCUGAGGAAUUAUCAUUAUAACACAUUACAAGCGAGCCUGUCCUAAGAAGCUCAUAUCUUUAACCGUUAAAUACCCGCAAUUUGAACCCUUAUAGCAUUAAAUAUUUAGGUUAAGCCUUAAGCUGCAGGGAAGAUUUCACUUAAGCCUACUUUAUUUCACAUUUCUGGGGUAUUUUGUAGGGGUUGUAGCCUAAUUUGCAUCAGACACUCGCUGUUGUGCACCUAAUGUCCUGAAUAAUUAGCAAUUCCUUAAUUUAUUCCUAUUUCCACACAUCUGACAUAUUCCCUUGGUUGCACCGAAGCCCUUGAAAUAGAGACGCAUUUUGUAAGGGUUGUAUGCAGUAACGUGUGUAUCUCCCUGGUGGGGUUUUACAUGAUUAUAAUGAACAUCUCGGUGAGGUCGUUCAGUGGUGAAAAGCACACACACACGUUGACACGGUGGCUUUAUGAAGUCUGAGGGCAUUUCAACUCUUUGAUUUGCUGCAGCGGUGACGAGGGCCUUUCCCUGCAGGCACAUAUAACGUUACACACACACACUGAAUCUGAUGCCUACUUGUUGUAUUUCUAUUUAACGUUAGAGCUACAACCGAAGUUACUUAUUCGUAACGUAAUGUAUUGUUUGGAGGUAAAGUAACUUUGGGGGGCUGUUCUCACAAAUAUUGGUAAUGUUCGCGAUCAUCAUAUUUCUGCAACCGCUCAAAAUAAGCAUAUUUAUCUAAUUAACGUUAGAUCCGUUUAAGAGGCAAAUUCAAUGUGGUUUAAAGGGAUUCUCUCUAUGGACAUUAUCAAUUAAUAAAGUCACGUUAAAAUGAACAUUUUACAAGUACAACAUACAAGUUACGCGAAGUGCACGGCCGCGAGAGUAAGAGAGUCCAGGUGGAAUUGAGCCGAUACCAGAACACGUUAGCUUAAUGCUAAAGCUAAAUCAAAGUUACGCUAGGAGCCUGCGGCCACUGGCGUUAGCUCACAUUAACCCUCGUAAUUAGAACACGGCCCUGAUUUCACCUUAAUUCAAGUCAGCGGGCUCGCCAAGCAACGACGCGCGUGAACCUCGGUGUUUACGAGGACAACAACUAAACAAAACAAAUAAAUAAUGACGUCAAUUACAAAUAAGGAAAAGAGAGACUCACAUCGGAGACGAAGAGCGACGCGACAGUUAAGUUCCGACAAGCUCGCGAGCUGCGCGUCGAGCGAGAGACACUUCGAGUGAAAACAAACGCGCGCGCGCUCCCUCUCUCUCUCUCUCUCUCCCCCCCCUCCGCUCUCGCCCUCUCUAUCUCCCCC
This is a long non-coding RNA of Gasterosteus aculeatus aculeatus (three-spined stickleback), 8561 nucleotides long. The record is from Ensembl. NCBI's taxonomy places the organism in Eukaryota, Metazoa, Chordata, Actinopteri, Perciformes, Gasterosteidae.